AUAAAUGAUGAACAACGGGUCUACUGAGAUCUGCUCGACGGAGUGGGUCGGUGAAGAGCCGUUGGAGCACUGAUG
RNAcentral lists this small nucleolar RNA (75 nucleotides) under Methanococcoides burtonii DSM 6242. Its description in RNAcentral is "Small nucleolar RNA sR3". It matches the Rfam family "Small nucleolar RNA sR3". Lineage: Archaea; Methanobacteriati; Methanobacteriota; Methanomicrobia; Methanosarcinales; Methanosarcinaceae. The record is from Rfam by way of RNAcentral.